GACGAACGCUGGCGGCGUGCCUAAUACAUGCAAGUCGAACGAGAGCGACCGGUGCUUGCACUGGUCAAUCUAGUGGCGAACGGGUGAGUAACACGUGGGUAACCCGCCCAUCAGAGGGGGAUAACAUCCGGAAACGGAUGCUAAAACCGCAUAGGUCUUCGAGCCGCAUGGCUUGAAGAGGAAAAGAGGCGCAAGCUUCUGCUGAUGGAUGGACCCGCGGUGCAUUAGCUAGUUGGUGAGGUAACGGCUCACCAAGGCCGUGAUGCAUAGCCGACCUGAGAGGGUGAUCGGCCACAUUGGGACUGAGACACGGCCCAAACUCCUACGGGAGGCAGCAGUAGGGAAUCUUCCGCAAUGGACGCAAGUCUGACGGAGCAACGCCGCGUGAGUGAAGAAGGUUUUCGGAUCGUAAAACUCUGUUGUUAGAGAAGAACAAGUGCUAGAGUAACUGUUAGCGCCUUGACGGUAUCUAACCAGAAAGCCACGGCUAACUACGUG
Molecule: ribosomal RNA, 498 nt
Filed under: uncultured bacterium
Lineage: Bacteria
Description: partial 16S ribosomal RNA
Rfam family: Bacterial small subunit ribosomal RNA
Source: RNAcentral